Molecule: transfer RNA, 87 nt
Filed under: Candidatus Omnitrophica bacterium CG11_big_fil_rev_8_21_14_0_20_64_10
Lineage: Bacteria; Pseudomonadati; Candidatus Omnitrophota
Description: tRNA-Leu
Rfam family: tRNA
About the family: Transfer RNA (tRNA) molecules are approximately 80 nucleotides in length.
Source: RNAcentral
GCCGAGGUGGCGGAACUGGCAGACGCGCUAGCUUCAGGAGCUAGUGGCCGCAAGGCCUUCGGGGUUCAACUCCCCGCCUCGGCACAA